RNAcentral lists this ribosomal RNA (406 nucleotides) under uncultured bacterium. RNAcentral describes it as "partial 16S ribosomal RNA". It matches the Rfam family "Bacterial small subunit ribosomal RNA", at positions 30 to 526 of the family's 1533-position model. The record is from RNAcentral.
AUUGAACGCUGGCGGCAGGCCUAACACAUGCAAGUCGAGCGAGCGGCGGACGGGUGAGUAAUGUCUGGGAAACUGCCUGAUGGCGUGGGAUAACUACUGGAAACGGUAGCUAAUACCCCAUACAAUCAGAUGUUGCCCGCUGGGAUUAGCUAGUAGGUGGGGUAACGGCUCACCUAGGCGACGAUCCCUAGCUGGUCUGAGAGGAUGACCAGCCACAAUGGGACUGAGAAACGGUCCACACUCCUACGGGAGGCAGCAGUGGGGAAUAUUGAAAAAUGUGCGCAAGCCGGAUGCAGCAAUGCCGCGUGUGUGAAGAAGGCCUUCGGGUUGUAAAGCACUUUCAUCGGGGAGGCGUUACCCGCAGAAGAAGCACCGGCUAACUCCGUGCCAGCAGCCGCGGUAAUAC